Polistes canadensis is the source of this 836-nucleotide long non-coding RNA. RefSeq lists it as uncharacterized. The transcript is spliced from 2 exons. Lineage: Eukaryota; Metazoa; Arthropoda; Insecta; Hymenoptera; Vespidae. The record is from RefSeq and is a predicted model, not a curated record.
CUCGAGACGAAAAUCUUUAGGUUCACCUCCAACGCGCACUACCCCUUCUCGAACGCUCACCAACGUCUACCGAGAUCUUCCUGUUCGUGGUAUCCGCGUAAUCAUCAGUCGCAUCACCGUACCCGCUUCUUCUUCCCUUUCUAUUCGCAAGGAUUACGUUCGCAAGGAUGUCAUCGAGACGCGCGUCCCCUUCCUUCGAGUGUUCUAACAAUUUUCUUUCGUAAGCUCGAAAGGUGGACAAAAAAAUAGAAAAGCACGUCCAGCCCCUGGUACUAGGGGAAUAAUAAAAUAGGGUAUCUGGGUUUCGGCGUCCACCCCGUCGAAGCGGCAGCGGCAGCAGCAGCCGCGUACGUGUAACGCGUUACGCGUACGGAAUCUAUAUUCCGCUCUCCGGAGGAGUAAGAGUAAAAGACUGGAAGACGUAGGAUGGCCGAGAGGAACGGAACGGAACGGAAUGGAACGGAACGGAAGGAAAUGGAACGGCACGGAACGGAAAGCGCCACGAGCUCGUGUGCGUCGCGAAAGAGGAAGCGACUUGGCUCGUUCUCCUCCUCCUCCUCCACCUCCUCCUCCCUUUUGUACGGAGCGUGCGCGAGUACGAGCUGCGAAAGGGGUGACAAAGGGGUGAGAAAAGGCAUCGUAGACGGGAGGAGACGACGAGCCUUUUCAUCGGUCCUUUUCAUCGGUCCUCUUCACGGGACAACGACGAAAGAACCGACCAGAGCGCGAGAGAGACAACUUUGACAGAGAUUUAUAUUGCUUCAAAGCAUUUAUACGAUGCUCAUCGAACUUUUACGUGUAAAGAAAAUGCAAGAAGAGGACGAAACAAAGAUAAG